GGCAGCCUCUGACAGGCGGUGGCUAGCGAUUACGUAUUACUCAGAAUUACAAGCCACUUGCAUUCAUAAUAAUUACAUUAGGAAAGCGGCCCAAAAACCCGCAACCACCAAAUAUUUACCCGCAAAUGUAUUCUUGCCUCUGACGUCAAACGCCCCUGGUUGUUUUCGGCCCAACAGCAAAAGAGCAAAUACCUUUUUUAGUGUAAUACAACAAUGUAACUUAUUUCGUUACAAGGACAUUUAUCCUUAAUCACUAUACACGUAGAAAGUACAUAUCCAGGUUUUCUUUCAAUAACCAGUUCAGUAUAAAGAGUCAGUCUCCAGCUUGGCGGACGUUGAGGCGGCGGCACCCCCCGAGGGAAUAGAAGUUCGUCUGCUGGUGUUGUGCGAGAAGAGAGCAGCGGGCUCGAUACUGCCCGGAACCUCGCACCAGAGCCACGGGCAGAUGAGCAGGAGACUCUGGGGAAAAGUACGGGCCCUCCGUACCAUCCAGGACACACCGGACCCGCACAGCGCGUCCUGAAGCCGCUCCUGCCUGCCCGCCAAAACCUUGGCAACCGAGUAGUUGUUCACCGGCCGUCAAAGACGAGAAGCCGCGGUCCGCACCGCUGCAGUUAAUAAUCUGUUUAAUAAUAAUCUGUUUUGUAUUUUCAAGAUAUUGAAUGCAUGUGAUUUCUUAAUAAUAAUUCAUAAACCCAUACUUAAAAAACAUUUGAAAACAUAUUUUAUUGAUGCGGACGUUUGCUGCAGCGUUAAGGGUGAACAUAUUGCUAUCAAUAUAAAAAAUACAUUAAAAGUGUAAUAGAACGUCGGUUGUAAUAACUGAUUUCUCAAAAAUAACUUAUUAAAAAACACUUUUGGAAAAACAUCUUUAAACGUAUUUAAUAUAAGAAGUGAACUUUUGCUGCAUAGGUAAGGGUGAAAUUCAAAGGUAUGAUAGCUGUCGCCCGGUUAAUUAUUAGCCAUUAUUAGCAAUAUCAGUCGAUAAGCCAUUAUGCCCUUAUUCAUUUUUCCACUAAGAUCCUAUAGAAUUUACCAAUAAUACAAAAAGAUUUUUAUUUUCCCUGUUGGGAUUCAGUGGCGCUCAAUAACAUAUCACGUGGUACUUUAGAAUUCUAAAAUUCAGAUAGGAUUUUCAUCAAGCGCAUUGUUUUUUAUCCGACCUCUUUAUUUCUGUAUUGGAUUCUUGAUUUAGGAUUAUGACCUAACCCCACUAAAAUAGUACAAUUCCUGCGGGUCUACUACUUUUAUGUAGCAUGACCCAAAGGCAGGUGUGCAGGUCACUGAGAAAAAAGAAAAUAAUUGGCUUUACUUGCCAUUGCCAUUCACUUAAUUCACAUCGGUUGCACAUUAAUGAAAUAUGUAAAGUAAACACAGCAUUUUUCAGUUUACGGAAUUCAAUAGGCAGAAACUGACCAGCUAAUCCAAUGAGCAGUCAGUGAUGUCAUCUGCCAUUCUGUUCCAUUUUGAUGUCAUACGGAACACUGUGUUCCAUUCUAUUGUGACAUCACAUGUCCAUUUCACACUCCAGUCUGAACGACAAUUUCAAAGGAGACACUGCUAAAAAUGAAGCUCAGCUUUUUCAAUUGCAUCAGCUCUGCAACAAUGGAGGAAGAGGCGAAAGACAAAAAAGGAAGAUUUAAAAGGAAUUUUGGCAAGCCUGGAAAAAAAAGAGCAAAAGCUCCUACAGAAGGCAUGGCUUCCAGCUGCAGAGAGGAGCCAGGACCCAAGGAAUCACUACAGAAGAAAGAUUCUCUUCUCAGUGUAUGCAAGAAGCUGGGCAAGAUCGGGCUCUCUCAAAUAUUUGGACAAAGACAAAAAAAUACAAUUAAGACGAAUAAUGCGAAUGGGGACAAAAAUGUACAGCAACUGAGAAACAGACUGGACAGAGGAAAAAGCAAGUCUGAGAGUGACUUGGGAAAAAUCCCAGAGAUACAGAAGCCGAGACCAAUGAGGCAACUGAAUAGAAGACCAGUUCCAAAAUGCACGAAGUCGGACAGUGAACUGGUGAGACCAAUGAGUGCCCCAUAUCAAUACAGGCCAUUUACAGAGGCCCCAGGGAAUGGCGGAGGUGGAAAGGGGCCACCAGGACACGAGCCACCUACCACCAAUCGGCGAUGUAGUUUUGGGAUUCUGCGCUUCAUAUGUCAUGCAGUUAAUGCUCUGAGGCGUAGAAUUUUAGGUUGCUUCUGGGGAUGCCUACAAGGUGUACUCAUUGUUGCACUAAUUUGCACUGUGACAUUUUUUAUCUUUUUGGUUUAACCUUCGUCCUGUGUUGCCUUUUCCUAUCUCUUAUGUUAGACAGGUCGGUGCCGACCCGUGUCAUAUAUGAUGUAUGGUGUAUUUUUCGGAAUAUUUUUCAGAUUUCCAACACCAAUAAAACUGUGUUUCUUGCAAA
Molecule: long non-coding RNA, 2398 nt
Organism: Brienomyrus brachyistius
Lineage: Eukaryota; Metazoa; Chordata; Actinopteri; Osteoglossiformes; Mormyridae
Exons: 2
Source: RefSeq, a predicted model, not a curated record